Molecule: ribosomal RNA, 530 nt
Filed under: uncultured bacterium
Lineage: Bacteria
Description: partial 16S ribosomal RNA
Rfam family: Bacterial small subunit ribosomal RNA
Source: RNAcentral
UGGGGAAUAUUGCACAAUGGGCGAAAGCCUGAUGCAGCGACGCCGCGUGAGGGCAUGACGGCCUUCGGGUUGUAAACCUCUUUCAGCAGGGACGAAGCGCAAGUGACGGUACCUGCAGAAGAAGCACCGGCUAACUACGUGCCAGCAGCCGCGGUAAUACGUAGGGUGCAAGCGUUGUCCGGAAUUACUGGGCGUAAAGAGUUCGUAGGCGGUUUGUCGCGUCGUUUGUGAAAACCAGCAGCUCAACUGCUGGCUUGCAGGCGAUACGGGCAGACUUGAGUACUGCAGGGGAGACUGGAAUUCCUGGUGUAGCGGUGAAAUGCGCAGAUAUCAGGAGGAACACCGGUGGCGAAGGCGGGUCUCUGGGCAGUAACUGACGCUGAGGAACGAAAGCGUGGGUAGCGAACAGGAUUAGAUACCCUGGUAGUCCACGCCGUAAACCGGUGGGCGCUAGGUGUGGUUCCUUCCACGGAAUCCGUGCCGUAGCUAACGCAUUAAGCGCCCCGCCUGGGGAGUACGGCCGCAAGGCU